AGGCAGUGACGAUGAAAAUUAUACCAUCAAACUAUGAAAGCUAUAAAGCCUGUUGAUGUGAACAAAUCAUUAUUCUCUGAGCCU
Small nucleolar RNA from Camellia sinensis, 84 nucleotides. RefSeq annotates it as small nucleolar RNA snoR116. The record is from RefSeq and is a predicted model, not a curated record. Lineage: Eukaryota; Viridiplantae; Streptophyta; Magnoliopsida; Ericales; Theaceae.